AAAAAAAAAUCCCCCCCCAAAUUUUUUGAACCCCCUUAUGAUUCAUCACCCCCAAACUCAAUCCCAGCCUUCCCUUUGUGGUAUGGUACCUUGCAGUACAAUUUCAGAGAGAUCCAUACACUUGAACACAAGUUAUUGUCUGGAAACUAGAAAAAUGCUUAUUUUUGGCCCAUUUUUGGCCCCCAAUUCCUAAACGUUUCGGGCAAUUAUCCCCAAACUCAAUUCCAGCUUUCCCUUUGUGAUAUGGAACCUUGUAGUACAAUUUCAGAAAUAUCCAAACACUAACACACAAGUUAUUGUCAUGAAACUAAAAAAAUGCUUGUUUUUGGCCCCUUUUUUGGCCCCUAAUUCCUAAAAUUUUGAGGCAAUUACCCCCAAAAUCAAUUACAGCCUUUCCUUUGUGAUAUGGAACCUUGUGGUACAAUGUCAGAGAGAUCCAUACACUUACACACAAGUUAUUGUCUGGAAGUUACAAAAUGCUUAUUUUUGGCCCCUUUUUGGCCCCUAAUUCCUUAACUGUUAGUACCAUAACCCCCAAAAUCAAUCCCCACCUUCCUUUUGUGGUAUUGAACCUUAUGGUAAAAUUUCAUUGAGAUCCAUUUACUUAAACUAAAGUUAGAGUGCGAAAACUAAUGUGUCUUCGGACGACGACGAUGACGCCAACGUCAUACCAAUAUACGACCACAAAAAUUUUUUUGCGGUCGUAUAAAAAUCUAAAAA
Molecule: long non-coding RNA, 720 nt
Organism: Mytilus californianus (California mussel)
Lineage: Eukaryota; Metazoa; Mollusca; Bivalvia; Mytilida; Mytilidae
Exons: 2
Source: RefSeq, a predicted model, not a curated record